Long non-coding RNA from Eucalyptus grandis, 449 nucleotides. RefSeq lists it as uncharacterized. The transcript is spliced from 2 exons. NCBI's taxonomy places the organism in Eukaryota, Viridiplantae, Streptophyta, Magnoliopsida, Myrtales, Myrtaceae. The record is from RefSeq and is a predicted model, not a curated record.
UCCUCAAGCUGACGUAGAUUGCUUCUCCUCCUUCCUCUUUGUGCUGUGCAAACACCAGCAAGCCAGAGGAGAAGUCAGGGCAGCCGUCGCACGCCGAAGAGCCACCACCAGCCGUCAUUUGCCACCUCCGCCUCUGUCCGCUUUCCGUGCAAACCACCGCCCAGCCGUGCAUGUUCCAGCAGCCCUGUUUCGCCAUCCUAGCAGCUUCCUCAGCCCGUGCCAGAGCUGUCUCGCCUCCGUUCGACUUCCGUUCUUAGGUGGUGUUGGCGAAGACUGGAAGCCCCAAAGUUUAAGAGGCGAAGCCUGAAGAAUUGACGACCUUGUCCGGCUAGCUAGUAGUAGGGCAAUUCUCUUUUGUAGGGAGCCGAUUCCUUUUGCAAACCUUUGUAUAUAGACCUAUGUGUUUAUAAAAAGGUAUUUUGUGAAAAAUUAAUUCUACUUUCUUAUCC